Molecule: long non-coding RNA, 33154 nt
Filed under: Hordeum vulgare
Lineage: Eukaryota; Viridiplantae; Streptophyta; Magnoliopsida; Poales; Poaceae
Description: long non-coding RNA (HVUL_LNC018022)
Source: RNAcentral
UUUUUUAUUUUUUUGGUAAUGUGACUCCUUUUUAGCUUGUUCAAUUUUGUGUUGAACCAAAGGGGGUAGAGGCGUUGGAAAUUUUGUACCUCUUUUUGCAGAAGAUUUAUUCACAAUGCGGAAUAUUGGGUCCCCCUUUUUCCUCUGAUUACUUGGUAUAUAUUGAUAAACUUUCUUGCUUGACGAAGACUCUACAACAUAUUGCUUUAAGCUGUUUAAUUCAGGUCCGAUGACUGCCUUUGGCUUGUACACUUUUUCGACAGGCUCGAAAUAAAAUUUUGCAUCAGCAUAGAAGGAUUCAGCUAUUGUGAAUGGCCUUUUGUCUGCGAAUAUUCUUACUAUUUCUCCGGACUGGUCCAUGUAUUUGAUGCACUGAUGGAGUGUAGAUGGUACAAUUUGGUUAUCGUGCAACCAUGGCCGACCCAACAAGGCAUUAUACGAAGUGGCUGCAUCAAUGACAUGGAAGGUCACGUGUGUACAUAGUGAUUCUAACUUUAAAACCAAGGAUAUAGUUCCCAUGGCUUCUUGACCUGAUUGAUUGAAUCCAUGGAUAACCACGUUAGACCGGCUCAAAUCUUCGGUAGAAUAUCCUGUCUUUUUUAGAGUGCGCAACGGUAACAAAUUUAUAGCAGACCCACCAUCAAUCAUUAUCCGAUUUGUAGGUACGUCAUCCAUCUCACCAAACAUUAGCAAAGGUCUAUUAUGCUUCUUUGAACCUAGUAGCAUGUCCUCAUCGGUGAAUGUAAUAUUUAGCGCAUCAGCCGGCUCAGUUUCAGUAUGUGACACUUCCACUCGAUAAUCUUCCGGGAAUAAUAAUGCUGUAACCAAAGCCUUGCGUAAAUCAGAAGAAAGCGACAAAGCAUCAUACACAGAAAGCAUAGCUGGUAUUUUCUUCAAGUGUGAGAUUACAUCAUACUUGAUCGAUACUUUAGCAGUAGGGUCAGUGGUUUCAUUUGGAACUACAUCUUUGUUCCUAGGCUCCUUUCUAGGUGGAGGAUAUGGGUCGGCUAGCUGGCGACCUGAUCUAAGAUGAACUUGAUCAACUUCUGGCGCUUCUUCUUCAGGGAAGUGAAGAGACUCGCUAUCAUCCUCGAAAACACCAAUGGCCAGGACAUCAAAUUUUUGGGGAAGUCCUUUUAAACGCUUCGCCAAGCUCUCUGAUAUUCCCGGCCUAGAGCGUGGAACAUUAAUUUCCUUUUUCACUUGAUGUUGGACGAUGAGUCCAGGUCGCCGUCGUCCUCGAUCUUCAGAUCUUCGGGGCUCAAUGGCGUGUAAUCCUCGGGGCUUGACGGCGUGUAGUCCUCCUCUGCGGAGAAUGUCUCUUUCGAGUUGACAUCUACACCGUCCUCCAUAUCCGAAGUGCGGUUCAACUCCUGACAAUAUCAUAGGAUUAAAAUCCGCAUCUGAUAUGAGCAUAUUUCUAUUAUAAGUUGGUCUCAUAUUUGAAGAGGCACAACUCACCAUGUCAUCCUGAAGGGUGGCCACGUUUGCUGUAGCAACCUUCUUUCCUUUCUUUAGACUUGUAAGGAGAUCUGCAUCAAUGGUUCCUUCAUCUAUCAUUUUCUGAAUAAUAUUCUUGACCACAAAGCAAUCUUUGAGAGUAUGACCCAAGAUACGGUGGUAUUCACAGAAGUUUGGAUCAUUGGACUUGUUAGCUUACUCUGGUCUCUUUGAGCUUGGGCGAUCAUUAAGUUUCAGCUCAAGAAGACCGACAAACAAAUCACGAAUCUCAUCCAUAGGGAAAGAAUACUCCCUGUUCUAACGCUCGGCAAGAGUAGGCCCUCUACAAGCUGGUGCACCUGUACGCUCUAUAUUUCUUGUGCUAGAUGCUCCAGCCUGGAAUUGUGGUUUCAUCGCCGUUGCUUCCAUGACUUGCGCCGGUUUAGGCUUAGCGGGUAACUUGUCACUCUACCACUCUUGUCCACCGGCUUGUACACCGUCUUUGUCCGACGUGCAACGAGCUGCAUAUAAUUCUCAAUAUCUGUGGCUUUUGAGGCCAGCUCUUCAAAUGUAACAGGUCGUACACCUUGAAGAUACACAGCCAUAUCAGGACGAAGAUUAUUCAUACACAUUCGCACAGCCUCACAUUCUGUGAUAGGUUGUGGGCAGUGCAGACUUAGGUUUCUCCACCUGUUAAUAAAAUCUGCAGCUUUCUCGUUAAUCCCUUGUUCUGUUUGGGUUAACUCCGUGAUGCCGACUGUUCUCUGAGUGCUGUAGAAGCGCUCAAGAAAAGCAUCUUGCAUUUGUUCCCAAGUCUUGACGGAACUUGGUGGCAACUUGCUGUACCAAGUAAAAGCAGGACCUGACAGUGUUUGCACAAAUUGACGUAGCAGGAGUGCACCAUUUUGAGCCGUGUCUUGACACGCUGCUAGGAAAUGAGCUAUGUGCUCAUGUGGGGAUCCUCCGCCACUAAACUUACUGAACUGAGGUUGCCGGUAAUUGGCCGGGAAUGGCACAAGAUCAACAUCCGGCGGGUACGGCUUAACAUAUCCCGGCCGCAUGGAGUAAUGAGUUUGCAUAUAUUGGGCCUUGACCCCUUCAGCUAUCAUUUUCUGAAUAGCUUCAAGGUUGAUUCCGAUCCCUCCUUGGUUAGUAUUAUGACUACCCGAGGCAUUCCUCUCAACUUCAGUAUUUGUACUAUUAGCUACACGGUUGCGUAAAGCAACCAACUCAUCUUCUUUCUGUUGGAGUGCAGCUGUGAGUUGCUUAAGUUGUUCUUCGGCUGACUGACCUGUAUUUGCUGUGAGGACCUGCUCCACUCGGCUUACAUUAUGUUGUUGUUCUUCAUGAAAUUUCAACUCAUUUUCGUAAUCAGGCUGAGAAUUUUUCAACAGAAGACGAGACUCUACACAAUCUAAAUCUUGGUCUUCGCUGCUUGCAUCUUUUUGACUGCGAGUUACAGGACGAUGGCCUGGUACAACAUUUUUCUUGGCUUUCUUUCUCUUGAAAUGUACUGAAGUUGAUGAUGUUUCACUAUUGCUGUCCGCCACCUCCGUGACACCAAUCGGGAGAGAGUUGAACACCUCAAAUGAAUUGCUUGAAGCUCUCUUACGAGCUGGCCAAGGAGUGAGCAUCGUGGCAGCCUUCCUUGAUGAUUCUUUGCUCACUUGUACUUUACUACCUUCACUUGAUGUUGGAGCAUCUCUUCCUUGGAUCCUGCUAUAUCCAGAAUCAGCACGUACUGCCAUUUCUCUUCUCUUAAGGGCAGCACGUCUUGCACUUGCACGACCAGCUUGAGUGACAUAUCCUUGUCGCUUGGGAUUUUCCUUUACAAACUCUUCAUACUCCGGCCAUUUGGCGAGAGUGUGUGCAUGCCGCAUGAUUGCGCCACCCUCGUCAUCUGCUGACAUAGAACAACCAGGUAACAUUUCUUUCAAUGUUUCACAUAUGCUUUGUGCUAACUUUUUGUGAAAAUCAUCAUGACGCCUUCCACGAAUUCUUGCAUUGCUCGUCCCAACUCUGUCCCGGAUGGGACAAGCGACUUGCUUCCGUUGCUGCCUUGCUUGAUUGGAGUCGAUUGCCAUCGGAACAUCAACCCAGGCCCGGUGAGCUUUCUGCCGUCGGCGACGCUGACGAGCUGGGUCAUAUGAACCUUCAAAUGAUGGUCGUGGCAUCGACACUGAUGAUGACAAGGGAUCUGUAAUUGUAGCGGUUGGAUCAACGUGACCCGUCCUUAUGUCGCUCGGAGUGAGGUAUACUCCUUUCCACAUGAGCGAGCGUUUGUUUUUUGGUUCCACAUAUGUGGGGAAGAAUUUGGGAGCAUCAACCCGAAGUUGUCCACAUGGUCGAGGAGACUCCGCCUCCUCUACCAUGACAGCUUUGCCCUUAUCCGCUGCAGAAGCCUUACGUGCUGCCCCUAUCGCGUUUGAAGUAGGCUUAUAUGAGCCUCCCUCUGACGCCUCAUGGACAACUUUCCUAGUGCAUGUUGUCGACGACACGCCCACCUUCAGUUUGGAAGGAGUGAGCGGCACCGCGACCUUGGUUGAUGUAGAUGACGCAGAUGGUUCUCGUCGAGCUGGAGUGACUCGAGUUGAAACAGAACGUGUUGGGGAAGCUAUCUUUGCAAGUACAGGCCACUCCUCCAGCGAUGUACCGUGGAAUUUGAUCGGAGCUUCCUGGCUUGUAGGCUUAACAUGCAUUGCCUUAGCAAACCCAGGAGGGACCGAAUCAGAUGUAGCUUCCUUGCACAUACUCAUGUGAUGGUCAUGUGCAACAGCUUUUGAAGCUUUUGCUGCCGCAGCUCGCAUCCUUCUCUUGGCUGACUUAGAGAGCACAGGAACAAAUCCAUCUCUUGGUGCUGAAGAGACCUCUUUUUCUUUCUCAGGUUCACUUGGUGAUGCAGCUGUAGUCUUCCAGCUCUCACUAACUGAAGCCACAAGUGGACCGAUCGGCACAUCCAGCCAGAGGUCACCAAAGCGGAGAGUGACAAACUGCUGACGAANNNNNNNNNNNNNNNNNNNNNNNNNNNNNNNNNNNNNNNNNNNNNNNNNNNNNNNNNNNNNNNNNNNNNNNNNNNNNNNNNNNNNNNNNNNNNNNNNNNNNNNNNNNNNNNNNNNNNNNNNNNNNNNNNNNNNNCUGAACCUGUCCCUCCAUACCUUAUAUAAAUGAAGAAAACCAUAUAUUAGUUUUCUUGCAUACAUGUUUUCUUAUAUAUAUUUAUUUUAUGAAGUCAUAUGUUUUAAUCCUAUGUUGGAAUUCAAAGAUGAGGGGAAAAAUAAGUCCCACCGGGCGUGCCAGAAUCUGAUGACGGGAAAAUGNAAAAUCCAUGUCAACAAUCACGGAGUUCACUAGCAAUCAUAAGAUGGAUGCCAUUGAUAUUGGGAAACACCUCUCUAGGCUCUACGAUAGGGUUGACCAACUUCAGGGCCAGAUCUAUGACCUGUAGAAUCAAAACUGUGAGUAUGAGUACAGAUUUAAAUCAAUAAGGUUGGCUGCAGAUUUGAGGAUUCCGGCGACUCGUUCAUCCUGCCAUGAUGGAGCACCUAUGCCUUGGAAGACGGAGGAUCAGACUACUCCAACAACACCACCAUCACCACCAAAGGAAGACAACUAAGCAUUGGUAUGGGCAAUCCCCUUGGCUUCUGCCAAGCUUGGGGGAGUUGCCCUGGUAUCAUCUCACCUUUAUAUCUUUUGCUUUUACCUUUGUUUUAGUUCUUUCCUUUUCAGUUUUUAUUUCUUCUCUUAGAGGAAUAAGUCUUUAGUUUUUAGUUUGAGUCUUUUGCUUUUGUCUCUCCCUCGAUGUAUUCGAGCUUACGAGCUAUAUAAUAAAGAGUGUCUUAGUUAAGGGCUUUGCUUUGUGCCAUGAUCAAAAGUAUGAAAAGAACGAUAGCAUGAAAGAUCAUGAGACGAUCUUAUGGAAAGUGAUAACUUCACUUAUGACACGUAUGAUGAUUGAAACUUGUUGAGAAUAAAUCAACAUAGACCUCAGUCAUUGUUGCAAUUAAUAAGAAGUAAUAAGGAAACAGAGGUUCACAUAUAAAUAUAUCAUCUUAGACACUUUUUACAAUUGUGAGCACUCACCAAACUAUUACAUGCCUAGGAGUAGAUGUUGGACAAGGAAUACAACAUAAUGAAUUGUGUUUACUUGGUUCCAAACAAUGUUAUAUGAUUAGAGAUCCCUUAGCACGUGACGAUUGCUUCCACCUCAUAUUAGCCAAAACUCCCGCACCAAGUAGAGAUACUACUUGUGCAUCCAUAAACCUCCAACCAGUUUUGCCAUGAAAGUCCACCAUACCUACCUAUGGAUUGAAUAAGAUCCUUCAAGUAAAUUGUCAUCGGUGCAAGCAAUAAAAAUUGCUCUCUAAUAUGUAUGAUCUAUUAGUGUGUGGAAAAUAAGCUUUGUACGAACCUGUGAUGAGGAAGACAUAAAAGCAACAGACUACAUAAUAAAGUUCUUUGUCACAGGAGGCAAUAUAAAGUGACGUUCCUCCGCACUAAGAGGACACGCAUUCAAACCUCAAAAGCGCAUGACAACCUCUGCUUUCCUCUGCGAAGGGCCUAUCCUGUACCUUUACUUUUUACCCUUGUAAGAGUCAUGGUGAUCUUCACCAAUUCCCUUUUUGCCUUUGUCUUGGCUACCGUCACAUGCUUGGGAAAGAUCUAUAUUCAUAUAUCAACUUGGAGUUGAGUACUCAUGCUUUAUUGUUGUUGACUUUAUCCUUGAGGUAAACCGUUGGGAGGCAAAGCUAUAAGCCCCUAUCUUCCUCUGUGUCCAGCUGAAACUUUGACACCAUGAGUACCACGUGAGUUGUAACAAUUGUGGAAAACGAAAGAGAUGAUUGAGUAUGUGGGUUUGCCUUACAAGCUCUUAUUUGACUCUUUCUGAUGUUGUGAUAAAUUGCAAUUGCUUCAAUGACUAUGGACUAUUGUUGGUUACUUCUCGGUAAGGUUUUUGCUUCAUGUUUUGCUUUGUGAAGGAAUUGUUACUUUCCCAUAAGAAUCUUUAUGAUAUAUUGUUGUUCUAUGUGUGAUCAUGAUGCCCUCAUGUCCGUAUUAUGUUUUAUCGACACCUUCGUCCCUCAACAUGUGCACAUGUUUAUGGAACUUGGUUUUCGCUUGAGGACAAGCGAGGUCUAAGCUUGGGGGAGUUGAUACGUCCAUUUUGCAUCAUGCUUUCAUGUUGAUAUUUAUUGCUUUUUGGGCUGUUAUAUUACUUGUGGUACCAUAUUUAUGCCUUUUCUCUCUUAUUUUGCAAGGAUUAUUUGAAGAAGGANNNNNNNNNNNNNNNNNNNNNNNNNNNNNNNNNNNNNNNNNNNNNNNNNNNNNNNNNNNNNNNNNNNNNNNNNNNNNNNNNNNNNNNNNNNNNNNNNNNNAUGCGACGUUCCCAACAGUGGCAUCAUGAGCUAGGUUCAUGCGUAGAUGUCUUCUCGAGUAGAACACAAAAGGUUUUGUGGGCGGUGAUGUGCGUUUUGCUGCCCUCCUUAGUCUUUUCUUGAUUCCGCGGUAUUGUUGGAUUGAAGCGGCUUGGACCGACAUUACUCGUACGCUUACGAGAGACUGGUUUCAUCGUUACGAGUAACCCCCUUUGCUCAAAGAUGACUGGCAAGUGACGGUUUCUCCAACUUUAGUUGAAUCGGAUUUGACCGAGGAGGUCCUUGGAUGAGGUUAAAUAGCAACUCAUAUAUCUCCGUUGUGGUGUUUGCGUAAGUAAGAUGCGAUCCUACUAGAUACCCUUGGUUGCCACGUAAAACAUGCAACAACAAAAUUAGAGGACGUCUAACUUGUUUUUGCAGGGUAUGAUUGUGAUAUGAUAUGGCCAAUGAUGUGAUGUGAUAUAUUGGAUGUAUGAGAUGAUCAUGUUGUAAUAGAAAUAUCGACUUGCACGUCGAUGGUACGGCAACCGGCAGGAGCCAUAGGGUUGUCUUUAUACUAACAUAUGUGCUUGCAGAUGCGUUUACUAUUUUGCUAGGAUGUAGCUUUAGUAGUGAUAGCAUAAGUAGCACGACAACCCCGAUGGCGACACGUUGAUGGAGAUCAUGAUGAUGGAGAUCAUGGUGUGGCGCCGGUGACAAGAAGAUCGUGCCGGUGCUUUGGUGAUGGAGAUCAAGAAGCACGUGAUAAUGGCCAUAUCAUGUCACUUAUGAAUUGCAUGUGAUGUUAAUCCUUUUAUGCACCUUAUUUUGCUUAGAACGACGGUAGCAUUAUGAGGUGAUCUCUCACUAAAAUUUCAAGACGAAAUUGUGUUCUCCCCGACUGUGCACCGUUGCUACAGUUCGUCGUUUCGAGACACCACGUGAUGAUCGGGUGUGAUAGACUCAACGUUCACAUACAACGGGUGCAAAACAGUUGCGCACGCGGAACACUCGGGUUAAGCUUGAAGAGCCUAGCAUGUGCAGACAUGGCCUCGGAACACAUGAGACCGAAAGGUCGAUCAUGAAUCAUAUAGUUGAUAUGAUUAGCAUAGGGAUGCUUACCACUGAAACUACUCUCGACUCACGUGAUGAUCGGACUUGGGAUAGUGUAAGUGGAUCAUGAACCACUCAAAUGACUAGAGAGAUGUACUUUUUGAGUGGGAGUUUAGCAUAUAAUUUGAUUAAGUUGAACUCUAAUUAUCUUGAACAUAGUCUAAGUCCACUUUGAAUAUAUUUGUGUUGUAGAUCAUGGCUCACGCAAGUGUCAUCCUCAAUUUUAAUACGUUCCUAGAGAAAGCUAAGUUGAAAGAUGAUGGAAGCAACUUUGUAGACUGGGCUCGUAAUCUUAGGCUAAUCUUACAAGCUGGAAAGAAGGAUUAUGUCCUUAAUGCUGCGCUAGGAGAUGAACCACCCGCUACGGCUGAUCAGGAUGUUAAGAACGCUUGGUUGGCGCGUAAGGAGGACUACUCAAUAGUUCAAUGUGCAGUCUUGUAUGGCUUAGAGCCGGGACUUCAACGUCGCUUUGAGCGUCAUGGAGCAUUUGAGAUGUUCCAGGAGUUGAAGUUUAUCUUUCAGAAGAACGCCCGGAUCGAGAGGUAUGAGACCUCCGAUAAAUUCUAUGCUUGCAAGAUGGAGGAAAACUCGUCUGUCAGUGAACAUGUGCUCAAGAUGUCUGGGUACUCAAACCGUCUAGCUGAACUAGGGAUUGAACUCCCGCAAGAAGCUAUCACUGACAGAAUCCUCCAAUCACUGCCGCCAAGCUAUAAAGGCUUUGUGUUGAACUACAACAUGCAAGGGAUGAACAAGUCUCCCGGCGAGUUGUUUGCAAUGCUGAAAGUCGCAGAGUCUGAACUCCGUAAAGAGCAUCAAGUGUUGAUGGUCAGCAAGACCACUAGUUUCAAGAGAAACGGCAAAGGCAAGAAGGUCAAUUCGAAGAAGAGCGGCAAGCCUGUUGCCAAUCCGCCGAAGAAACCCAAGGCUGGACCUAAGCCUGAAACAGAGUGCUUCUAUUGCAAGGGUAUGGGUCACUGGAAGCGCAAUUGCCCCAAGUAUCUGGCAGAUAAGAAGGCGGGCAAAGAAAAAUCAGGUAUAUUUGAUAUACAUGUUAUUUAUGUGUACUUAACCAGCUCUCGUAGUAGUGCCUGGGUAUUCGAUACCGGUUCUGUUGCUCACAUUUGCAACUCGAAGCAGGAACUGCGGAAUAGACGGAGGCUGGCGAAAGACGAAGUGACGAUGCGUGUAGGAAACGGUUCCAAGGUUGAUGCAAUCGCCGUCGGCACCGUGUCACUUCAACUACCAUCGGGAUUAGUGAUGAACUUAAAUCAUUGUUAUUUAGUGCCUGCGUUGAGCAUGAACAUUAUAUAUGGAUCUUGUUUAUUGCGAGACGGUUACUCUUUUAAGUCUGAGAAUAAUGGUUGUUCUAUUUCUAUGAGUAACAUCUUUUAUGGUCAUGCACCGAAUGUGAGAGGAUUGUUCAUAUUGAAUCUUGAUAGAGAUACGCAUAUACAUAACAUUGAGAUCAAAAGAGUUAGAGUAAACAAUGAUAGCGCCAUAUUUUUGUGGCACUGCCGCUUGGGUCAUAUUGGUGUAAAGCGCAUGAAGAAACUCCAUGCUGAUGGACUUUUGGAGUCACUUGACUUUGAUUCACUUGACACGUGCGAACCAUGCCUCAUGGGCAAGAUGACUAAAACUCCGUUCUCCGGAACAAUGGAGCGUGCAAGUGACUUGUUGGAAAUCAUACAUACCGAUGUGUGUGGUCCGAUGAGCGUGGAGGCACGCGGCGGAUAUCGUUAUUUUCUCACCUUCACUGACGAUUUAAGUAGAUAUGGUUAUGUCUACUUGAUGAAGCACAAGUCUGAAACAUUUGAAAAGUUCAAACAAUUUCAGAGUGAAGUGGAAAAUCAUCGUAACAAGAAGAUCAAGUUCCUACGGUCUGAUCGUGGGGGUGAGUAUCUGAGUUUCGAGUUUGGUGCUCACUUAAGACAAUGUGGAAUUGUUUCGCAGUUAACACCGCCUGGAACACCACAGCGUAAUGGUGUGUCCGAACGUCGUAAUCGUACUUUGUUAGAAAUGGUGCGAUCUAUGAUGUCUCUUACUGAUUUGCCGUUAUCGUUUUGGGGUUAUGCAUUAGAAAUAGCUGCAUUCACUUUAAAUAGGGCACCAUCAAAAUCCGUUGAGACGACACCAUACGAACUGUGGUAUGGCAAAAGACCAAAGUUGUGGUUUCUUAAAGUUUGGGGAUGUGAUGCUUAUGUCAAAAAGCUUCAGCCUGAGAAGCUGGAACCCAAAGCGGAAAAGUGCGUCUUCAUAGGUUACCCAAAAGAGACAGUUGGGUACACCUUCUAUCUCAAAUCCGAGGGCAAAGUGUUUGUUGCUAAGAACGGAACUUUUCUCGAGAAGGAGUUUCUCUCGAGAGAAUUGAGUGGGAGGAAGAUAGAACUUGACGAGGUUGUCGAACCUCUCAUCCCUCUGGAUGGUGGCGCAGGGCAAGGGGAAACCCCUGUGAUUGCGACGCCGGUUGAGGAGGAAGUUAAUGAUGAUGAUCAUGAAACUCCAGUUCAAGUUUCUGUUGAACCACGCAGGUCGACGAGAUCACGCGCUGCUCCAGAGUGGUACGGUAAUCCCGUCUUGACAAUCAUGUUGUUAGACAACAAUGAACCUGCAAAUUAUGAAGAAGCAAUGGUGGGCCCAGAUUCCAACAAAUGGCUAGAAGCCAUGAAAUCCGAGAUAGGAUCCAUGUAUGAGAACAAAGUAUGGACUUUGGAGAUACUACCUGAGGGCCGCAAGGCAAUUCAGAACAAAUGGAUCUUUAAGAAGAAGACGGACGCUGACGGUAAUGUGACCGUUUAUAAAGCUCGACUUGUGGCAAAGGGUUUUUCACAAGUUCCAGGAAUUGACUACGAUGAGACUUUCUCUCCCGUAGCAAUGCUUAAGUCCGUCAGAAUCAUGUUAGCAAUAGCUGCAUUUUUCGAUUAUGAAAUUUGGCAGAUGGAUGUCAAAACGGCGUUCCUUAACGGUUUUCUUAAGGAAGAGUUGUAUAUGAUGCAACCCGAAGGUUUUGUCGAUCCUAAAAAUGCUGACAAGGUGUGCAAGCUCCAGCGAUCCAUUUAUGGACUGGUGCAAGCAUCUCGGAGUUGGAACAAACGCUUUGAUGAGGUGAUCAAAGCAUUUGGGUUUAUACAAGUGGUUGGAGAAUCUUGUAUUUACAAGAAAGUGAGUGGGAGCUCUGUGGCGUUUCUAAUAUUAUAUGUGGAUGACAUAUUACUGAUUGGAAACAACGUAGAGCUUUUGGAGAGCAUAAAAGGUUACUUGAAUAAAAGUUUCUCUAUGAAGGACCUAGGAGAAGCUGCUUACAUUCUGGGCAUUAAGAUCUAUAGGGAUAGAUCAAAACGCCUGAUAGGACUUUCACAAAGCACAUACCUUGAUAAAGUUUUGAAGAGGUUUAAAAUGGAACAGUCCAAGAAAGGGUUCUUGCCAGUGUUACAAGGUACGAGAUUGAGUAAGACUCAGUGCCCAGCAACUGAUGAAGAUAGAGAGCAUAUGCGCUCCGUCCCAUAUGCUUCAGCCAUAGGCUCUAUCAUGUAUGCAAUGCUGUGCACUAGACCGGAUGUUAGCCUGGCCAUAAGUAUGGCAGGCAGGUUCCAGAGUAAUCCAGGAGUGGAUCACUGGACAGCGGUCAAGAAUAUCCUGAAGUACCUGAAAAGGACUAAGGAGAUGUUUCUCGUGUAUGGAGGUGACGAAGAGCUCGCCGUAAAAGGUUACGUCGACGCAAGCUUUGACACAGAUCCGGACGACUCUAAGUCGCAAACCGGAUACGUAUUUAUUCUUAAUGGGGGUGCAGUAAGCUGGUGCAGUUCCAAGCAAAGCGUCGUAGCAGAUUCUACAUGUGAAGCGGAGUACAUGGCUGCCUCGGAGGCGGCUAAGGAGGGUGUCUGGAUGAAGCAGUUCAUGACGGAUCUUGGAGUGGUGCCAAGUGCACUGGAUCCAGUAACCUUGUUCUGUGAUAACACUGGUGCCAUUGCCUUAGCAAAGGAACCAAGGUUUCACAAGUAGACCAGACACAUCAAACGACGCUUCAACCUCAUCCGCGACUACGUCGAGGAGGAGGACGUAAAUAUAUGCAAAGUGCACACGGAUCUGAAUGUAGCAGACCCGCUGACUAAACCUCUUCCACGGCCAAAACAUGAUCGACACCAGAACUGUAUGGGUGUUAGAUUUAUUACAAUGUAAUUCACAUGGUGAUGUGAGGGCUAGAUUAUUGACUCUAGUGCAAGUGGGAGACUGUUGGAAUUAUGCCCNNNNNNNNNNNNNNNNNNNNNNNNNNNNNNNNNNNNNNNNNNNNNNNNNNNNNNNNNNNNNNNNNNNNNNNNNNNNNNNNNNNNNNNNNNNNNNNNNNNNAAGCUUUGUUGUCUUGUUGGGAGCCUCCAAACUUUGUGUGGAGAUAGCCCCAACCUUGUUUGUAAAGGUCUAGUAGCCGCCUUCAAGGGAACCACUAGUGGAAUCAUGGCAUCUCGCAUUCUGUGAGGGCGUGAGGAGAAUAUGGUGGCCCUAAUGGCUUCUUGUGGAGCAUUGUGCCUCCACACCGCUCCAACGGAGACGUACUUCCUGUCAAAGGGAAGGAACUUUGGUAACACAUCCUCGUCUCCACCAGCUCCACUUGUGGUUAUCUAUUACCUUUACUUUCUGCUUGCUAUUGUUGAGUAGUAUUUCUUGCUUGCACUUGUUUUUGUUGUUGUUAGCAUCAUAUAGGUUGCUCACCUAGUUGUUCAUCUAGAGAACCUGAUGGGGUUAUAGUCCCAGGGUAGGGUCAUAGGCCUGCCCUAUAGAUCCUACCCAAGGACUACCCUUCAUAGAGGGCAAGGCCCUUAGACAGUUUCGACUGAACUAAGGACCCCCAUCAUCUAGUCGGUGACGAGCAUUCGGAGCAUAUNNNNNNNNNNNNNNNNNNNNNNNNNNNNNNNNNNNNNNNNNNNNNNNNNNNNNNNNNNNNNNNNNNNNNNNNNNNNNNNNNNNNNNNNNNNNNNNNNNNNUAAAAGAGCGCUACUGAUAUUCGAACCAGCAACCUCUCAGAGAUAUUUUAGUGUUGCAACCACUCCGCCACCCCAACAGUAUGGGAUAGAAAUGAACUUUUUACUUGCUUUAUUCUUUAUUUUCCCUUUUAUUUUUUUCUUAAUUGUUUUCCUUUUUCAUCCUGGUUGGUUGAUUUCUUUUUGGAAAUAUGUAAAUCUCUCCCUAAUAAUAAAGCAAAUAGGGUUUCUGGUCGUCCAAUGUGGCAUUUUUGUGAAAAAAUCCCUGUCUUUUUACGUAAUUAACCCGUCGUCCCUCUUUAAGUGACUAACCAGGAAAACGUUUCGUUCUUACAAAAAGAACCUUGCGUUUUGGAGUAUUCCACCUGAGAUCCUUCUCUUAAGAUAAGGUUUCGUUUCUGGCGUGUGGCCUGCACCACCUCCGUCCGACGCCCCUCCCAUCCCACGCUCGCUUCCCGCACCUCCGCGCCCACUCGCAGCCAUCCCCCGGCCCCGUCACCGCCGAGCCGCCGCCCCGCCCCGCUGCUCGACGUGCUGAGGCGGUCCCUCCUCGACACGCUCGCGGUGCUCAGGAAGCCCGCGCUGGCGCUCCUCCUGGCCGGCGCGCUGCUCGCGGCCGCGGCGCCCCACCACGCGGCGCUGGCCGUGUCCGGCGGCCGCGUCGGCGGGUCCGCCUUCUCCUCCCGCUCCUCCCCGUCCCCCCUCCAAAGGGUACACCACGCCGGCGCCGAUACAACUCCUACAGACGCUCCCGCUCCCUCUCCAGCCGCGACGACCUGAGGGGCGGCGCAGGAGGAGGGAGGCCGCCUCCAUCUGGCAGUCGCCGGUCGUGCUCGCGUGGAGGGAGGGAGGCUGCCNNNNNNNNNNNNNNNNNNNNNNNNNNNNNNNNNNNNNNNNNNNNNNNNNNNNNNNNNNNNNNNNNNNNNNNNNNNNNNNNNNNNNNNNNNNNNNNNNNNNAGCACAGUAGCAGUAAGUAUUUCCCUCAGUUUGAGAACCAAGGUAUCAAUCCAGUAGGAGUAUCAAGCCAAGUCUCCAAAGUACCUACACAAAAACAGCAAACUUGCACCCAACGCUACAAAGGGGUUGUCAAUCUCUUCACGAUUGAUUGCAAGGUGAGAUCUGAAGGCGGAAAGUGCAACAAAGUAAACUGUAAGGCUGAAAAUAUGAUGUGAAGUAGACCCGGGGGCCAUAGUGUUCACUAGAGGCUUCUCUCAUGAUAGUGAAUAUUACGGUGGGUGAACAAAUUACCGUCGAGCAAUUGAUAGAACCGCGCAAAGUCAUGAUGAUAUCUAAGGCAAUGAUCAUACAUAUAUGCAUCACGUCUGAGACAAGUAGACCGAUACUUUCUGCAUCUACUACUAUUACUCCACACAUCGACCGCUAUCCAGCAUGCAUCUAGUGUAUUGAGUUCAUAACAAACAGAGUAACACCUUAAGCAAGAUGUCAUGAUGUAGAGGGAUAAAUUCAUGCAAUAGAUAUAAACUCCAUCUUUUUACCCUUGAUGGCAACAACAUGAUGCGUGCCUCGCUACCCCUUCUGUCACUGGGUGACGUCACCGCACGGUAUGAACCCAAAACCAAGCACUUCUCCCAUUGCAAGAACAGUAGAUCAAGUUGGCCAAACGAAACCCACAACUCGAAGAGAAUUACAAGGACAUGAAAUCAUGCAUAUAAGAGAUCAGAAGAAACUCAAAUACGAUUCAUAGAUAAUCUGAUCAUAAAUCCAGAAUUCAUCGGAUCUCGACAAACACACCGCAAAAGAAGAUUACAUCGGAUAGAUCUCCAUGAAGAUCAUGNNNNNNNNNNNNNNNNNNNNNNNNNNNNNNNNNNNNNNNNNNNNNNNNNNNNNNNNNNNNNNNNNNNNNNNNNNNNNNNNNNNNNNNNNNNNNNNNNNNNAGGUGCGGUAAUCGAGGCGGCAGAAACUACUCGAUGACGAUGUCGACAUCCCCACUAAGCGCGCGGCAACCAAAAUUUGAAGAUCCUAGAAAAUCCGCCGCUGUCAGUUUGACCGGUCACAUCGAAAGAUUCCGCGGAAGCACUCGGUCCCUGACGGUUCGUUUCACUGGUAUAUUCACUCGGAUCACUGGUCGAAAGGAUAAAAUGGAUCGAGGCAAACAACGCCAAAGUCACAUCCAUACCAGUCGGAUCCGUACUCCAGGCACCACUUCGUCAUUCCAACCCCGAUCCAUUCGAGGACUAAUGAUGGGGUUAUAGUCCGAGGGUAGGGUCAUAGGCNUUAAGAAAAGCUAAAAAUUGGUAGUUGCCCAUUCACUCCCCCCUCUACUCAACCAUAUCGAUCCUUUCAAUUGGUAUCAGAGCCUUGUCUCUUUAUUAAGGGUUUCACCACCCGAAGAGUAUGGUUGAUGAUGGUGUUAGUGGCGAUGAAGUUCUCGAGGUCGUGGAGUUGAGUUCGAUCACACGUGAUGACUUGAAUGAGGCUAUGACCUAACUCAAUACAUCCAUGACUAUCGAAGUCAAGUUCAUGCUUAAAGAAUUGCUUGAGGGGUUGAAGAGUUCUCCUGAUCCGUUGCUUGUGGCUAAACCCACCACAUCGGGGUCGGAGGCCAAUUCCAAAAAGGAUGCGGCUAUAGGUACUCAACCUUCUUCCCCUCUUGACAAGAAUGGGACGGGAACCUUUGCCUGGGUUCCUCCUCACCCGGUCUACGGAGGACCGGUCCCUACAUCGCAUAUUAAUAACCUUGGUCCUCCUCCUAAGCUUGUUAAAGGUAAUUUUGCUAAUUGGGUUUUUCGCAUCUAGUCUCAUUUGAAUCACAGCUCAACAAAUCUGUGGAGAAUCAUUGGACAAGGCUUCUACCCACAUGAUCCAAGCAACUUCACUCCAAGAGAAGAGGCGGACCGUGGACAAUCAAUAUAAUCAUUCCACGUUGUUCAUCCUUCAAUCAGCAGUUCCUCCCGAUGAUCUAUCUCACUUGCUCCCCUUCACUCGUGCCAAGGAUUGCUGGGAGCACAUCAUGGUGUUGUACAAGGGGAGCUCAAUCAUUCAACAGUCCAACUUUGAAGUGGUACUUGAUGAGGCCGAUGAGUUUGUGAUGCUAGAAGAUGAGGAUCCCCAUGAUCUCUAUCGAAGGGUGACUCCUCUUGAUGUUGCUCUCCAAGAUCAUGGGAGCAAGGAUAAUGAUGACAAUUGGAUCAAGAGUAAGUUUCUCAAGGCCAUCAUGCCAUUCAACAAAGCCAUGUCUUCUGUAAUCUGUCAAAGGCCGGAUUUCCACUCGUUGACCUCAAGUGAAGUAUUGGAUGAGCUCAUUGCCAUGAAUAUCAUGAACAAGACCGCCGACAAUGCUCUAGCUCAUGUCCGGUCAAACAAAGCCUCGCCCAACCUUGCCUUGAAAGCCAAGGCACUUUUGGAUGAAGAAAUGGAAGAGGAAGAAGAGGGUUGCCUCGAAGACACAAAGUAUGCUUAUCACGAGCACAUGGCUCUUGCAUUAAGGCAAUUUUGGGGCAACAAGAGAAAUUCAAGGCCCAACUUCUCCAAGAACAACUCUAGUGGGUCCAAGAACACGCAACAAGUGAGGACAUGCUACAAUUGCAGCAAUGUGAGUCACUUUGUGGUGGAUUGUCCUUAUGAGAAGAGGGAAGACAACGGGGGUAAGCUCAUUCGCAAAGACAAAGCCAAGUCUUCCCCAAGCAAGAAAAAUUCACCAAGAAGGCUCCUUCAAAGGGUUUGGUGGCACUUGAAGAGUACACCUCCGAUGAUGACGAGGAUGAUACAAGCCGUGAGGGUAUGGCAACGGCUACCGUGGCCAUUGCCACCUCCUCCCCCAAGGUGUCUCUCUUCGGCGCCUCCAACGAGAACUGCAUCGCCAAGUGCCUUAUGGCCAAAGGUAUCAAUAAGGUAAACCCCGACAUCAAGACCACUAUCACUAAUGCUCCUUCAUUGUUAGAUUGUGUUGAUGAUAGUGAAGUAGUGGAGCUUGAUGAGAAUGAAUUUGACAAAUUCUUGUGUAAGAUCAAAGGUGAAUCCAAGAAGCACUUUGUUGCUCUUUUGGAACAACUUGGUGAGGCCAAUGAUCUCAUUGAGUCUCAUGAGGAUACUAUCUCCAAGAUGGAGGGACAUAGUUGUGAAUAUGCCGAUGAGAUUGUGGAACUCCAUUGCUCUAGAGGAAGAGUGUGGUCUUCGUUUGGCUCUUGAGGAGUCACACAACAUUGAUUGUGCUAAAUUGCAAAAAGAGCUUGAUCACGCUAUUGUUCUUACACGUGUGCUUAAGACCGAGAAAGUUGCACUUGGGGUUGGUCAUGAUAGACUCAAGGAAUAAUUUGACACACUUGACAAGGCCCACGAAGUCUUGAAAGGUGUUCAUUCCUCUCUUGAGGAGUCUCAUGACCAACUCCAAGUAAAACUAACCAAGGAGAUCUCUACUUGUCCUCCCUUCGUUCUAAUUGAUAAUGCUUGUGCUACUAACCCUUGUUGUGAGCAUGUGCAUCUUGUGGAGGAAAAUGCCAAGUUGAAAGAACAACUAGAGAAGGGCCUUGUGUCAUGCACCCAAGGUGAAAAGAACCUAAAUGACCUUUUGAGUAAUCAAAAGGAAGUUGUAGGAAAGGAGGGACUUGGAUUUGCACCCAAGUCUAAGAAGAAAAAGAAGAACAAUACAAAGUGUUCUCCUCCUCUCAAGGACAUUUUGUCAAAGAGGGUGAGAGUACUCAUGAGGAGAAGAAGAACAAGGAAGGGGGUGGAAAUGCCAAGAAGGGCAAAACCGUCCCUACCAACAAAGCCGGCGACUUUAACCCCUCUUAUGUUUUAUGACAUGCUAGUUAUGGUCAUGUUUAUGCUAAAUUUCUUAGUUCUUAUUAUGAGUACAUUGAAUGGGGUAUUUGGGUUCCUAAGACCCUUGUUUCUAACUUCAAAGGACCCAUUAUGAAAUGGGUACCUAAAUCCAAGGAUUGAUCUAUUGUAGGAGUUUGCUUCUGGUGGGGUGUCAUGGUUGCUCGACAGUGGAGCCACAAAUCAUAUGACCGGGAGCAAGACUUGGUGGUGGAUGUGCAUCCAAUUCCAUCUAUGCCCACCCAUGUCCAAUGUGUCGAUGCCUCGACAUCUAAGGUAUUGGGAUUUGUCAAUAUGGUCAUCUCUCAAGAUUUAUCUAUACAUAAGGUUAUGCUUGUUGAGUCCCUUGCAUACAAUUUGCUUUUUGUUCAUCAACUUGCAAUUAUGGGCUCUGCCACAUUCUUUAGUCUUGAUACCGUGGCCCUUUUGUGGAGCAAGACUCUUAAAGUAGCCUAUGUUGGACAUGUCAAAAAUGGUCUCUAUGUGGUGAACCUUUUGGAGCGACCCACUAAGACUGCGACUUGUCUAAUGUCUAAACUUAACGUGGGUUGGCUUUGGCAUCAUCGGCUAGCCCAUGUCAAUAUGAAAUCUUUCCAAAGUAUCCUCAAAGGUGACCAUGUUCGUGGACUAACAAAUGUGAGUUUUGCUAGUCACCGUGCUUGUAGUGCUUGUAUUGAAGGAAAGCUUCAUGAAAUGGCUCACCGUCCCACGACUAUCAUCUACUCUAAGAGGCCCUUGGAGCUCCUUCACAUGGAUCUCUUUGGUCCUCCAUUCUUUGAUAGUCUUGGGGGUAGGAAGUAUUGCUUGGUGAUUGUGGAUGAUUGCUCAAGAUGCACUUGGGUGUACUUGUUCAAAAGGAAGAGUGGGACUCAACAAACCGUCAUCAACUUUGCUAAUGAAGCUCACCGUCAACAUAAAGCAAAGACUUUGAUGAUUAGAAGUGACAACGGCAUCGAGUUCAAGAACUACACCAUGGAUGAAUUCCUUAGUGACGAUGGGAUCAAGCACCAAUAUUUGGCACUCUAUACCCCUCAACAAAAUGGUGUGGCAUACAGGAAGAACUGGACAUUGAUGGACGCGGCAAGAACCAUGAUGGCGGAGUUCAAAUCUCCGUACAACUUUUGGGCGGAAGCCAUCAACACAGCAUGUCAUGCAUCCAAUCGGAUCUACCUCCGCAAAGGAUUGAACAAGAGUCCAUAUGAGAUUCCUACCGAGAACAAGCUCAACCUCAAGUACUUCAGCGUGUUCGGGUGUAAGUGUUUCAUUCUCAAGAAAGGUGUUCGUUUGUCUAAAUUCGAUUGUAGAGCUCAAGAGGGCCUAUUUUUUGGUUAUGCUACAAACUCUCAUGCUUAACGUGUCCUCAACAAGUCCACCGAACUCAUUGAGGAGACGUGUAACGUAGAGUUUGAUGAAAAUAAUGGCUCACAAGUAGAGAAAAGUGGUCUUUGUGAUAUAGGUGAUGAAAUUCCUCCUUGAGCCAUAAGAAGAAUGGGGAUUGGUCAAAUACUUCCCAUUGAGGAACCCCUUGUGGCUGAAGGAGAAGGACAAUGCUCUACUCAAGUGGAGCCAUCACCCUCACUAGACCUAGACAUUUCUGAAGAACAAAGUGAAGGCCCUCAACCCGUUGAACAAGGUCAAGGACAAGAUCAACCUCCUGAAGAUGGUGAUGCACCAAAUGAUGUCCAAGAUCAUGCUCAAGAUUCCGAGCUUGCUCAAGAUCAAGUGCAUUCAGAAGAUCAAGGGCAAACUUGUGAGCAAGCUCAAGGCGGUGCUCAAGAUAAUCAAGUUGUUGAUCCUCAAUUACCUAGCGCAAAACUCUUGGAGCGUCGCACUGCCAAGGUGGCCUCCAUGCUCAGGGUUUGACAACAUCUCAUGAAAAAUGUGCUUGGAAUCUUGAAAAAAGGGGUAACUACUCAUCAACAAUUAUCAAACUUUUGUGAGCAUCACACGUUUGUUUCGUAUGUUGAACCCGAAAAGGUACAUGAAGCGCUCGAUGAUGAGGAUUGGCUUGGAGCCAUGCAUGAUGAACUUAGCAACUUCGAGCGCAAUCAAGUUUGGGAAUUAGUGCCAAGGCCAACGGAGGAACGUAAUGUCAUUGGGACCAAAUGGAUCUUCAAGAACAAGCAAGAUGUGAAUGGCGUUGUGGUUCGAAACAAGGCAAGACUGGUGGCUCAAGGCUACUCCCAAGUCGAGGGUAUCGACUAUGGUGAAACCUUUGCCCAUGUUGCUUGUCUUGAAUCUAUUAGCAUGCUGCUUGCAUUUGCAUCUCAUCAUAAUUUCAAAUUUCAACAAAUGGAUGUGAAGAGUGCAUUUCUUAAUGGUCCCUUGAAUGAGUUGGUAUAUGUCAAACAACCCCCGGGAUUCUAGCAUCCCAAGCUCCCCAAUCAUGUAUACAAACUCAAGAAGGCGCUCUACGGCCUUAAACAAGCCCCACAUGUGUGGUAUGAGUACCUUACUGAGUUGUUGCUAGAUCGUGGGUUUGAAAUUGGGAAAAUUGAUCACACCCUUUUUACCAAAAGGGUCAAAGGGGAUUUGUUCAUAUGCCAACUAUAUGUUAACGAUAGUAUAUCUGGUUCUCCUAACAAAUCAUUCAAUGAAGAUUAUACUACACUAAUGACCUAGAAGUUUGAGAUGUCUAUGAUGGGAGAGUUGAAGUUCUUUAUUGGGUUCGAAGUCAAGCAAUGAAGAGAAGGAACGUUCAUCAACCAAGCCAAGUACACCCAAGACAUGAUGAAGAGGUUCGAGCAAGAGGACGUCAAGCCAGUCAAGUUUCCCAUGCCAACCAAAUGCAAGCUUGACAAUGAUCCCAAUGGUAAAGAAGUGGAUCAAAAGGCAUAUCGCUCCAUGAUUGGAUCCUUGCUCGACCUUUGUGCAUCUAGACUGGAUAUCAUGUUGAGUGUGGGAAUUUGUGCACAGUUUCAAUCCGCACAAAAGGAAAGCCACUAUGCGGCAGUCAAACGAAUCUUUCGAUAUUUGGCUCAUACCCCAAACUUUGGCUUAGGGUACCCCAAAGGAGCAGGCUUUAAUAUAGUGGGCUACUCUGACUCAGAUUGGGCUGGAGACUGUGUGGGGAGGAAGUCAACUUCUGGAGGAUGUCAAUUCCUUGGUCGUUCUUUGGUAAGUUGGUCUUCAAAGAAGCAAAAUAUUGUGUCACUGUCUUCCACCUAGGCUGAGUAUGUUGCUGCAGCAAGUUGUUGUGCUCAAUUGCUAUGGAUGAGGCAAACUUUAAAGGAUUGUGGUGUCACUUGUGACAAAGUGCCUCUUCUAUGUGACAAUGAAAGUGCUAUCAAGAUUUCUAUCAAUCCGGUGCACCAUAGCAAGACCAAGCAUAUUGAUAUUCGUCAUCAUUUCAUUCAAGAUCAUAUCAAGCAUGGAGAUAUUGAGGUCAUCUACAUCAACACUCAAGAGCAACUUGCGGAUAUUUUCACAAAGCCUCUAGAUGAAGCAAGGUUUCGCGAGUUAAUGCAUGAUCUAAAUAUCAUUGAUUCAAGCAAUGUGUAUUGAAACUAGGCACACAACACCACACUCAUCAUGAUAUCUAGCUCUAGGUGUAGGCAUGCACAUAGGGGGAGUGUUGUCAUAUCAAUGAACUCCCCCCCCCCCAUUAUGCAUAAAUCGAUCACGUCUUUCACAUUAGCCUUUGUUGAUGGCACUUGUGCUUCAAAGUCGAGCUUUGGAAAUGAACCCAAGGAUAAUUAUUCACGGUGUAAUACCAAUUGUCUCAAACACAGGUGGUUCCGGCCACCGCCCCCUCUUCAUAAGAAGAUUCGGUUCAGCGUUUGUUGUUCGUGUUUGAUUUGUGUUGUUCGUGCUGAAAGGAUCCAUAUGGUUGACUAGAGGGGGGUGAAUAGGCAAAUACCAAUUUUUAGCACUUCUUAACAAGUUAGAGAAAGCAACACAAAGGUUCUCUAAAUUAACUACUAGGUGAGCAACCAAUAUGAUGCUAACUACCAUGAUAACUAGUGCAAGAAAGAAAUACACAACAACAAUAAUAUACAUAAAGUAAAGGUAAGAGAUAACCGCAAGUGGAACCGAUGAAGACGAGGAUGUGUUACCGAAGUUCCUUCCAUUUGACAGGAAGUGCGUCUCCGUUGGAGCGGUGUGGAGGCACAAUGCUCCCUAAUAAGCCACUGGGGCCACCAUAUUCUCCUCACACCCUCACAUAAUGUGAGGUGCCAUGAUUCCACUAUUGGUGUCCUUGAAGGCGGCGACCGGACCUUUACAAACAAGGUUGGAGCUAUCUCCACACAAUGCUCGGAGGCUCCCAACAAGACCACGAAGCUUCACCAUAAUGGAUAUGGCUCCGAGGUGACCACAACCGUCUAGGGUGCUCAAACACCCAAGAGUAACAAGAUCCGCAAGGGAUUGGUGGGGGGAAUCAAAUAUCUCUUGGUGGAAGUGUAGAUCUUGGCCUUCUCAACCAAUCCCUAGGAAAUCAACAAGUUUGAUUGGCUAGGGAGAGAGAUCGGGCACGAAUGAGCUUAGGAGCAACAAUGGAGUCUUGGAAGGUCAAAGGUAGGGUUCUUGGAGUGUAUGAACCGUUUAUAUAGUGAGGGAACAGAUCCAACCGUUACCCCCGCUUACAACACUGAUACGUCCAAAAUGUAUCUAUAAUUUCUGCUUGUUCCAUGAUCUUUUGGGUGACAUUGUUAUAUGUUUUGCUACACUUUUAUAUCAUUUUACACAUAUUUGGACUAACCUACUAACUCAGUGCACCCAGUGCCAGUUUCUAUCUGCUGAUGUCUAUUUUGCAGGGGCUUUUACCCAAUUUUCUGAAGCCCGAAAAAUUCCAAGAAAAUAUAUAAAAAAUCAGCACACGAAAGCUUGCAGAUCAUCGAAGAUGGGCCAGAGGGGGGCCAGGGGCCUCCCAGGCGACCUGUGGGCGUGACCCACCCCUAGGCCGCGCCGGAAGGCCGCCUGGGUGGGUCCCACGCCCUUUGGUGCCCUCCUUCGGCCUAUAUUUACUCUUUUGAGAGAAAACCCUUCCAGAAGAUCCGGAAUCGUGAAUUUCUCCAUCGUUCCGCCGCUGCAGCGCUUCCGAGAUCGGGAACUUCAGGAGACCUCUUCCCGGCACCCUGCCGGAGGGAGGAUUGACCUCCAAGAGCUUCUCCACUGCCAUGGACGCUUCCCGGACGUGCCGUGAGUAGUCCUCCUUGGACCAUGAGUCCAUGACCAGUAGCUAUGUGAUGUCUUCUCUCAAAUCUUGUGCUUCAAUGGUUAGUCCUUGUGAGCUGCCCUACAUGAUCAAGGCAUCUAUGUAAUUCUCUUGCUAUUGCUAUGCUCGGUUUGUUGGGAUCCGAUGGAUUAUGAGAUUAUGUUCAGAUUGUUAUGAGUUAUACAUUUGAUUAUCCUUUUAUAUUAUGUUCCUUAGUGAUUCAUGCAUGUUCUCCGUUGCUAUUUAUUGCUUUGGCCGAGUAGUAGAUUGUAACUCCAAGAGGGAGCGUUAUGCAUGAUUGUGGGUUCAUGCCCCUCGAUGUCUAGCUUGAGUGACAGAAACAUGAGACUAGGGGAUGUGUUGUUGCCAUCAGGGAGAAAACAACGGUGCUUAUGACCAUGGUUGCAAGGAUUGCUUAUUUUACCCAUAGUUCGUUAAUGCAAUUGUCCGUUGCUUUGAGUUUACACUUUGGGUGGGGCUCGCAACUCAAUACCGGCACGAUGUUCUGGAUAGAUAUCUCAAGGUGGAUGAUUAGUAAGUAGAUGUUGAUGAAUAAACGGUCUACUUUUCUUGGCAUACUGCCCGUUACUAUUGAACCUCUAACUAUCAAGUAGCAUAAUUAGCAUUGCGGUGCGUUCAUAAUUAUGUCAAUUUCCCAACUGUAAUUUAUUUACCCAAGCAUAGUUGUUUAUCGUCUUUUGGGAGAGAGGCAUCCCUAGGCAACAUCAUGUGACUCCGGUCCAUAUCACCAUCAUUGUUUACACCUCCAUCAUUUACCGUUUUCAUUUACUUUUCCGUUGCAAUCACUAUUACUUUUCCCGCUUGUGUUUUGAUCCUUUGCAAACUACAAGGAUGGAGAGAUUGACAACCUCUCUGUACUCGUUGGGAGCAAAGUUAUUAGUUGUGUGUGCAGGUCCACGUCUUCUGCUGACCAGGACAGGAGAAACCUACUUGUUGAUCCUAGGAGUCCUCCUGGUUUGAUAAACCUUACAGUCUCUGUGUAAGGGAAAACUUGCUGCUGACUACAUCUCAACCUUCCACUUGGGGUAACCAACGAGGUGCGAGAAGUAUAUACAUCAUCUCCUCAUCAAGCACCCGCAACACGAUAUACCGCUUGGGGGUAGCGGUACUACCGCUUGGUAGGGAGUGGUACUACCGCUAGCCCCAGCGGUACUACCGCUAGGCCUGGAGCGGUACUACCGCUUGGUAGGCACAUAGCCACGGUAGUAAAAACACUACUACCGGGCCUACCACCGCUGGAAAAGUAUUUGUAAAAAAGUCCGACAAAGUACAACCGCUCAGAGAGAGAGGUACUACCAUCCCGAAGCGGUACUACCGCCCAUCCGGAGCGGCACUACCGCUCAGCGAGCGAUACUACCGCUGGACCUUUUUGCAGAGACACGGAGAUAACAUGUGGGAGCUCCAUUGCUGCAAGCAAAAGGUGGUGGAAAGAAAAAGUGUGUGUGUGUGUUGAUUCCACCCAAACCUUUCCGACGCGGACCCCCUCUUAAUAGUACAGCUUUCCUACGACUCAAAACCACCAAAGAAAACCGUAGAAUCCACCGUGCUUCAAAACCACAGAGGGGCGAUGAAUUGUCUUGUGCCUUGCCAUGUAUUAUCUGAAAUGUUCAAUGCACACGAUUAGUCCACAGAGGUAGUGUCAUCAAUCACCAAAAUCACUUAGGACGAAAUAUGCCCUAACACGUGCUCUUUGGUGUGUUUCUUAUUUUUUUGCAAAGCCCGAACCUAUCUUUUCAUGACCGAGCGGUACUACCGUGGAUUGUCACGGUACUACCUUUGGAGAGGGCACGGUACUACCGCGUCCAGCACGACAGUAAUUUUUUACUGCCGUUGGGCGAGCGGUUGUAAUUUUUUUACUACCGCUGUCCAGGCGGUACUACCGCGAUAACCUGUGGUACUACCACUCCCUCGGGACCACGAGGGGUUAUAUACGGGCGGGGGGUUUCUUCUCCCCAUACUCAUUCAUCCCCUCCCCUCGUGGCUCUCUCUCUCCACUCACGGAACGGCGCCGGAAGACCUUGCCGGAUCUCCCUCUUCGGCCACUCUCCUUCCAUUCCGCUUGGUGGGAUCGUCUUCCUCCUCUCCCUCGUGCAAUGGAACCCGGUAUUGCCCCUAGUUCAUCUCUCUUUGCUUGUAUUUUGUUGGAUCUAGGGUUAGGGGCAUAUGAGUUGGUUUCACCGUUUUGUGUCCCAAAUCUUUUCAUAAGGGGAUGGUUUGGAGAGUGCUUGUGUGGUAGGAAUGAUACUUAGUAGGAUACAAUGUGGUAGUUUGGAUCUACGGUAGUACCGAUCUGGAUUUUGGUGGUCAGAUCAGGUGGUUUUCGCCCCAUGCGGUACUACCGCUCCUCCUGGAGCGGUACUACCGUAGGGGCACGGUAGUAAAAAAUUACUACCGCAUGACCGGCGGUACUACUGCACCUACUGGAGCGGUACUACCGCGGCCAGCGCGGUAGUAAAAUUUAACUACCGCUUGACCUGCGGUACUACCACUCAACCCUAAAUUACCAUGUUUUGUCCUUCUAAUUCUCAUUUCUAUGGGGUUCUUUGGUUUGCUUUGGUCUUUGCAUUGACUUCUUUCGAUUCUCUCGUGUUCUUGCGUUGUGUGUCAUAGGUGUUGGCUCCAGGUGCUUGAAUCCUUCUCGAGAGACCAACUCCAAGCACUUUCGCAAUCAAGAGGAGGCACCUAAGGGAUCCCAUGCUCGGAAGCGCAACUUCAAGAGGCCUGCCAACAAUAAUAAGGAACAAACCGUAAGUUGGGAUGGUAUGCCACAAGCUGAGUUCUGGAUUUGCCGGAAGCGCGAUUCCUAUGUCAUCGAAAGGGUUCAUCUCAAGGGUUGUUAGCUUUUUUGGUCCAAGCAACAUGCUCUCAUCUAUCAAGAUGUAAUCAAGACCAAGAAGAAUAUAUAUGUACCUGUUCAGUGGAUUGACAUGGAUCAUCUCAAGAAGGACCCAACGUACUUUGGUGAAUAUCUGGACAUGGUGGAGCAGCUUGGGAUCAAGGAGAUCAUCUCGUUUCAGCUUGACUUUGAUCCUGAGAUUGUAGCUCAGUUCUUUGUUACCGUUCACUUUCACCCUGAUGCGACGCACACAAUGACUUGGAUGACAAGUGGGGAGAAGUUGUCUGCUACCUGGAAGGAGUUCAUGGACCUUCUGAACAUUUGUGAUGAGGGGCUUGAGCAGCCAGUUGGUUUGCGCCCACACGCGAACCCUAGUGAUGCCCCCAAGGAAAAGUUGAUGCCAUACUUUAUCGAUAAGGUGUCCUCCACUUGCGAGCCCACUCGUGUGCUGAACCCAUUUCUUGAUGUCAUGCACAGAAUCUUUUGCAACAAGUUCUUUCCUCGUGUUGUCAACAAGGACCAUGUGUGUUCCUAUCUGGUGGAUAUGCUUAUCAUGUGUGAGAAAGGGCGGGCUCGCGCUCAUGGACCGCUUGAUGUGUCCCAUGUCAUGUGGAGUGAGCUUCAGUCGGCGGUGUUUCACCGUAAGGUCCCCAUCUAUGGACCUUAUUUUUUCUACUUGAUUCGGGAGAAGUGGUCGAAAGCCUUUCCAGAUGUGGUCUUUCAUGCUCCCGACUCGAUCUGUCAUGAGCCCAUUAAGCCGCGUCAGAAGAACAAGUGGGCCAACACUACCACUACACCUGCUGCUGCCAACAUGGAGGUUGAUCACGAUGAGGCUAAGGCUGAGGCUGAGGUUGAGGAUGAGGGCAGUCUAGAGACACAUGGGCCUUCCUCUGCUCAACCAUCUUGGGCCAAGAAGCUCAGGGACAGGAUGAAGACUCUGUUUUGCAUGCAGGCUAAGGGGCAAUAUAUGACCCAUAUUGCUGAGAAGGAGAGUUGUGAGCGUGACAAGCUAAUUCUGAGGAAACUCGACGUGAACAUCUCCAGUGGGUCUGAGACGAACAUCACUCCUGAAGCUGCUUGGAUGAAGGAGAAGAACCUUCAGUGGGAUGAAUAUGAUGUGUCUGAUGAGUCUAAGGAUGAGUCUGAUGGUUGAUCUUUAUGCAGCCGGAGCUACCACUUGUAUCUUAGGUGUCCUCUCUGCCUUUUUGGUGUCUCGAUGCCAAAGGGGGAGAGAGUGUAGGAUUUGCGACUUCCUUCAUUUUCCUUGUCUGUGUGUUUGUUGAACCUUCAUCGUUGCUUUGGUUGGUUGUUUUUUUAUGUGUGAGACCUGGAGACUGAUUCUACCGUAUGGUGUGAUACAUAUGCUAUCACUCUUAUCUCAUUUAUUGUCUCAUUAUUGUCUAGUAUGUUUGUAGCUUGUGAGUCUAGUUAAUAUGUGCCCUUAUCUUCAUGCUCACAUGCUAUGCCUUGCUUCCAUGCCUAGUGUUAAUCAGUUUGUUGCAAGGAAUGCCUUGUCCAUAAAAUUUAGGGGGAGUUCUGUUCCUAGGAUGUGGGCAUUGCAGUCCAUAGCAUUUCUCUAAUAUGCACACAUCUAGGGGGAGCCUCUCUAUAUUUUAUAGAGUUUGGGUUUGCUUAUGUUUUUUGUAUAUCCUUUUGUGCAAAUCUUGUAUUGUCAUGAGUGCACCAAAAAGGGGGAGAUUGUUAGGGCAUAUUUCUCCCCAAGCAGUUUUGGUGAUUGAUGACAAUACUUCUCCGAACUAAUCGUGUGCAUUGUAAGGUGUGAACUUGAGUAAAACUCAAAGCCCGACCACGGCAGAAGAAAGAGAAAGGACGAAGGUCAUCCCCUAUGCAUUAGUCAUAGGCUCUAUAGUAAGCUAUGUUGUGUACCGCGCCUGAUGGGUGCCUUGCCAUGAAUUUGUCAAGGGGUACGAAAGUGAUACACGAAUGGAUUAUUGGACAGCGGUCAAAAGUUAUCCUUAGUAACUAGUGGACUAAGGAAUUUUUUCUCGAUUAUGGAGGUGUUAAAAGAGUUCGUCGUAAAGGGUUACGCCGAUGCAAGCUUUGACACUAAUCCGGAAAACUCUCAGUAGUAAACCGGAUUCGUAUAGUGGAGCAGUCAUUUGGAAUAGUUCCAAAAUGGCACGUUGGUAGCAGCACCUACAGGAUGACAUAGAGAUUUGUAAAGCACAUUCAGAUCUGAAAGGUUCAGACCCGUUGACUAAAACCUCUCUCACAAGCAAGACAUGAUCAAACCCCAGAACUGUAUGGGUGUUAGAUUCAUCAGAAUCACAUAGUGAUGUGAGCUAGAUUAUUGACUCUAGUGCAAGUGGGAGACUAUUGGAAAUAUGCCCUAGAGGCAAUAAUAAAUUGGUUAUUAUUAUAUUUCCUUGUUCAUGUUAAUCGUUUAUUACCCAUGCUAUAAUUGUAUUGAUUGGAAACUCAAAUACAUGUGUGGAUACAUAGACAAAACACUGUCCCUAGUAAGCCUCUAGUUGACUAGCUCGUUGAUCAAAGAUGGUUAAGGUUUCCUAGCCAUAGACAAGUGUUGUCACUUGAUAACGGGAUCACAUCAUUAGGAGAAUGAUGUGAUGGACAAGACCCAAACUAUAAGCGUAGCAUAUGAUCAUGUCAGUUUAUCGCUAUUGUUUUCUGCAUGUCAAUGUAUCUGUUCCUAUGACCAUGAGAUCAUGCAACUCCCGGACACCGGAGGAAUACCUUAUGUGUAUCAAACGUUGCAACAUAACUGGGUGACUAUAAAGGUGCUCUACAUGUAUCUCCGAAGGUGUCUGUUGGGUUGGCGUGAAUCGAGACUGGGAUUUGUCACUCCGUAUGACGGAGAGGUAUCUUGGGGCCCACUCGGUAAUACAACAUCACAAUAAGCCUCGCAAGCAAUGUGACUAAGGAGUUAGCCAUUAGGUCUUGUAUUACGAAAUGAGUAAAGAGACUUGUCGAUAACGAGAUUGAACUAGGUAUAGAUAUACUGACGAUCGAAUCUCGGGCAAGUGACAUACCGAAGGACAAAGGGAACAACAUACAGUAUUAACUGAAUCCUUGACAUAGAGGUUCAACCGAUAAAGAUCUUCGUAGAAUAUGUAGGAGCCAAUAUGGGAAUCCAGGUCCCGCUAUUGGUUAUUGACAAUAGAGGUGUCUCGGUCAUGUCUGCAUAGUUCUCGAACCUGCAGGGUCUGCACACUUAAGGUUCGAUGACGUUUCGGUAUAGUUGAGUUAUAGGUGUUGGUAAUCGAAAGUUGUUCGGAGUCACGGAUGAGAUCCCUGAUGUCAUGAGGAGCUCCGGAAUGGUCUGGAGGUAAAUAUUGAUAUAUAGGAAGUCCUGUUUUGGUCACCGGAAAAGUUUUGGACUCAUCGUUAGUGUACCGGGAGUGCCAGGAGGGUACCAGGGACCAUCGGGAGGGGUGUCACGCCCCGCGGGGCCUUAUGGGCUGUGGGAGGAUACAAACCAGCCCCUAGUGGGCUGACAUAAGCUCCAACUAAGGUCCAUGAGGUUUGAGAGGCAAAAAACCCAAAGAUGAAAAAGGUGGAAAGGGUUUCCAAGUGGAAAGGAGGAAUCCUACUCCUAGUAGGAUUGGAGUAGGACUCCUCCACCUUCAAUUUCGACCAAACCUUGAGGGUUUGAGGCUGCCUCCUCCCCUCCCUCCCUUCUAUAUAUACUAGAGGUAUUGAGGGUUUUUGAGACACAGAAAAACAGCCACGUGUUGCCCUCUCUCUCCAGAUCUGUUUCUCCUCUAGUCUAGUUUGAGCGGUGAUUAGGCGAAGCACUGCUGGAAUAGCUCCACCACCACCACCAUGCCGCCGUGCUAGAGAACUCAUCUACCUCUUCGCCCCUCUUGAUGGAUCAAGAAGGAUGAGAUCGUCAUCGAGAUGUACGUGUGUUACCGAGAGGUGCCGUCCGUUCGGCACUAGAUCGGGAUGGAUCGUGAUGGGAUCACGGGACGGAUCGUGAUGAGAUCGCGGGACGGGCUGCGAUUUGGAUCGCGAAGAUGUUCCACUACAUCAACCGCGUUAUAUACGCUUCCGCUUGGCGAUCUACAAGGGUAUGUAGAUUCACUCUCCCCACUCGUAGAUGAUCAUCACUAUGGAUAGGUAUUGCGUGUGCGUAGGAAAAUUUUUGUUUCCCAUGCAACGUUCCCCAACACACCUUUCCUUUGCUUCAAUGGAGCUCCAGUCCGUUCCCCCUUGUCUGUGCAAAGUGAAAGCAGCAAGAUGCUUGUUUUCAGUGGCCAGCGGUAGUACCGCAGGUGCGAGCGAUAGUACUUCUCCUAGCAGCGGUAGUACCGCUGUCACCAGCCUCUAUUGCAAGCACCUACAGUAGUAUGUCCGGAUGUAGUUUUUUACUACCACCCUCAAGCGGUAGUACCGCAACUAUGUCCGUUACUACCGUGCCGGACUUUUGCACAGCCGCAGUCUCAGCGGAGGUAGACAUGGAAGUAAUCUUUUACUUCCGUGGCAGUUGGACACUACCCUACGGUGGUACCGUAAGGGCGCGCAGUAGUACCGCUCCAGCGGUUCUAUCGCUCGUUGCCCCGCGCAGUAGUUCCUCCUUCUGCCACCACCGUGCGUAUGAUAGUACCGCACCUCGCAGCGGUAGUACCGCACCACAGAGCGGUAGUACCGUUGUGCUCGGGCUGACAGUGGGUGUAACGGUUGGAUUCUUUCCCCCGCUAUAUAAAGGGGGUCUUCUUCCCCAAGAAGACCACCUCUACCUUUCCCAAGCUCCAUUGUUGCUCCAAAGCUCAUUUUCGCCCGAUCUCUCUCCCUAGCCAAUCAAACAUGUUGAUUUUCUAGGGAUUGGUUGAGAAGGCCCAGAUCUACACUUCCACCAAGAGAUAUUUGAUUCCACCCACUAAUACCUUGUGGAUCUUGUUACUCUUGGGUGUUUGAGCAUCCUAGACGGUUGAGGUCACCCCAGAGCCACAUUCCAUUGUGGUGAAGCUCUGUGGUCUUGUUGGGAUCCUCCAAGCUUUGUGUAGAUAUAGCCCCAACCUUAUUUGUAAAGGUCCGAUAGCCGCCUUCAAGGGCACCACUAGUGGAAUCACGACAUCUCGCAUUGUGUGAGGGCGUGAGGAGAAUACGGUGGCCCUAGUGGCUUCUUGGGGAGCAUUGUGCCUCCACACCGCUCCAACGGAGACGUACUUUUCGUCAAAGGGAAGGAACUUUGGUAACACAUCCUUGUCUCCACCGGCUCCACUUGUGGUUAUCUCUUACCUUUACUUUGUGAUUUCUAUUGUUGAGUGGUAUUCCUUGCUUGCACAUGUUGUUGUUAUUGUUCGCAUCAUAUAGGUUGCUCACCUAGUUUUUAAUCUAGAGAACCUUUUGUUGCUAACCCUAAUUUGUUAAGAAAAGCUAAAAAAAUGGUAGUUGCCUAUUCACACACCCCCCUUCUAGUCAAGCAUAUCGAUCCUUCCAAUUGGCCUUGUGCAGUCUUGUUUUGUGUAACAAGAAAAAUGGGUUGUGUUGUGGGUCGUAAUAAUCAUACUCGUGGAUCCCAAAAUUUUCUCCUACGAGAUCCACAAAUGUUCGUUUUCCUUCUACGAGAUCCGAAGUGGCCAAAUGCAUCGACUCCAUCUAUAGCCAAGAGGCUAAACUUUCGUGAAUGGCUCAACAAAUUGUUGCUCGAGAUCAUUCAAAACCCACCGUUUGCAAGACCCGCUGCGACAUAUUGCUUUCUGCUCCAAAUCCCAUAAGAGCGAGUUAUUUUUCUUUGGGAAGGUCAAAGAAAUGGAGAGUGAGUGUAGGAAACUUUUUGAUUGUGAGGUGGGAUCUCUUUAGUUAAUGUACCUCGGAAUACCCAUUCACCUUCCUAAGCUCACAAACAAAGAAUGAAAAAAAAAUGAAGAUAGAUAUCAAAAGAAGCUCAACGGUUGGAAGGGAAAACUCAUGUCCUAUGGGGCAUGAUUAACUCAUGGACGUGCAAGUCUACUCAUGCUUAUGAUGUCCUUUUUUAAAAUAUCCAAAGGGGUGUUGAAGAGGCUUGAUAUUUAUCGGUCUAGGUUCUUCUCGUAGUGUGAUGAGCACAAAGCUAAGUGAGAUAUCUUGUGUUGGCCAAAGGAUCGUGGUGGUUUGGAUAUUGAAAACAUAUAUAGAAAUACAAAAAACAAGUGCUUUCUUAGUACUCUCUUUGUGAAGAAAUAUAAGAGUGUUUAGAACACUACUUUAGUGAUCUAAACGCUCUUAUAUUUCUUUAUGAAUGGAGUAAUUGACUAUACCGAUUUCUUGACGAUAAGGGUGUAUGGCAAAAGCUUCUUCAUAAUAAGUAUCUAUAUUCAAAAACUUUAUCUCAAGUGGAAGCAAAACCGAAACUCAGUCUUUUGGAAGGGUUUGAUGAUGGAAAGUCUUCUUUCUUUAAGAGAUUUUUUUUAGGUUGGCGAUGGCCAAUCUAGGAGUUUUGGGAAGACACUUGGUUAGCGAACAACCUGCUUGUUCUACAAUAUUCAUCAUUAUGCAACAUGGCGCGUAGAAAAAACGACGUUGGGACAUUUGAACAUUCAAUUUAGAUUGGGGACACGUGGAUAGGGUGGCUUUUAGGUUGAUAUUAGCCAACUUAUGAGAAACACUGGAUGCAUUCAAAAUGGCGGUUGAAUACAAAUGGUGCAUUUACGGCCAAGUUUACGUAUGAGGACCUUACCAAUAUGGGACCGGUGUUCCGCAGGAAACAUAUUUUGAAGAUUAAGAUAUUUUGGCCAAGAGAAAUUAACAUAAAAAAAAGCUUUUGUGACUAUGAGGAAAUAAUCUAGCACCUUUUUUUUUUGAACGGAUAAUCUAGCACCUUUUUAUGUCUUUGGGUUGAGAAUUAUGCCUUAGAUCCCAUGUAAAUAGAAAUCACAUUGAUCCCUUGGAUAGAUAGAGAGGGAGGGGCCUUACACUACCUUGAAAUAUUUAUCUCACGCCUUACACUACCUUGAUUUGGAAUAUUUGUUGUCCACAACAACAAUAUUGUGGUACAGAGGGAGUAGAUUAUCUGGUUAUUGCUACUGAGAUUCUUUGUGAAACUGUUGCACUUUCUUUUUAGGGGAAUCUUCUACUAUGGCUACAAUUUAAAACUGUUAAAAGCUUGGCUGUUGCAACUUGCAACUUGACACUAUACAAUGCUUACCGCAGAUCUUGGGACCUAAGCUAUCGAUUUGAUAAAGUGAUGAUAACAAGUACACGCAGAAUAAUAACUCCUUUAAAGCACGAGAUAUAAUCCAGUUCCAGGCAUAGUAUAUCGGAUGACUUGAUUGCUAAGUCAAAUAGUACAUAAUGCUGAUGCAUGUAAUGGCUUACACAUUUUUCAACACAACAGAGUAGAUUACACAACAACCAUCACAUAUUCCACUGUGAAAUAAUGAAAACACGAUAUAAGGAUUUGAGUUCUCUGACUGGCUUAAGCUCGAUCGAAGACUAGUUUUGUCAUGUGUUGACAAAAUUCCAUUAGAGCAAGAACUUCAAUAGAAGGGCCUGCGCGGUCGGCGGAACCUGGGAGCUCUCC